This 944-nucleotide ribosomal RNA is filed under the name uncultured archaeon. RNAcentral describes it as "bacterial SSU rRNA". It matches the Rfam family "Archaeal small subunit ribosomal RNA", at positions 1 to 922 of the family's 1478-position model. The record is from RNAcentral.
UCCGGUUGAACCUGCCGGACCCCACUGCUAUCGGGGUGGGACUAAGACAUGCUAGUCGUGCGCCUCCAAGCCACGGUGGAGGCGCGGCGCACAGCUCAGUAACACGUGGCUAACCUACCCUUGGGACAGGGACAACCCCGGGAAACUGGGGCUAAUCCCCGAUAGGUGAGGACUCCUGGAAUGGGUCCUCGCUGAAAGGGCGUCUAGACCAUGCUUCUAGACGCUGCCCAAGGAUGGGGCCGCGGCCGAUCAGGUUGUUGGUGAGGUAACGGCUCACCAAGCCUAAGACCGGUACGGGCCGUGAGAGCGGGAGCCCGGAGAUGGACACUGAGACAAGGGUCCAGGCCCUACGGGGCGCAGCAGUCGCGAAACCUCCGCAAUACGCGAAAGCGUGACGGGGCCACCCCGAGUGCCGUCCGCUGAGGACGGCUUUUCCCCAGUGUAGACAGCUGGGGGAAUAAGGGGAGGGCAAGUCGGGUGUCAGCCGCCGCGGUAAUACCCGCUCCCCGAGUGGUGGGGACGCUUAUUGGGCCUAAAGCAUCCGUAGCCGGCUGGACAAGUCCCCUGUUAAAUCCAGCGAUUUAAUCGCUGGACUGCGGGGGAUACUGUCCAGCUAGGGGGCGGGAGAGGCCGGCGGUAUUCCCGGGGUAGGGGUGAAAUCUUAUAAUCCCGGGAGGACCACCAGUGGCGAAGGCUGCCGGCUGGAACGCGCCCGACGGUGAGGGGUGAAAGCUGGGGGAGCGAACCGGAUUAGAUACCCGGGUAGUCCCAGCUGUAAACGAUGCGGGCUAGGUGUUGGCACGGCUACAAGCCGUGUCAGUGCCGCAGGGAAGCCGUUAAGCCCGCCGCCUGGGGAGUACGGCCGCAAGGCUGAAACUUAAAGGAAUUGGCGGGGGAGCACCACAAGGGGUGAAGCUUGCGGUUUAAUUGGAGUCAACGCCGGG